UGCAUCAGCUCCUGCUGUCUGA
RNAcentral lists this unclassified non-coding RNA (22 nucleotides) under Mus musculus (house mouse). RNAcentral describes it as "oocyte_clustered_small_RNA12114". Lineage: Eukaryota; Metazoa; Chordata; Mammalia; Rodentia; Muridae. The record is from RNAcentral.